CCUACGGGUGGCAGCAGUGAGGAAUAUUGGUCAAUGGACGGAAGUCUGAUCCAGCGACGCCGCGUGAGUGAAGAAGUAUUUCGGUAUGUAAAGCUCUAUCAGCAGGGAAGAAAGAAAUGACGGUACCUGACUAAGAAGCCCCGGCUAACUACGUGCCAGCAGCCGCGGUAAUACGUAGGGGGCAAGCGUUAUCCGGAUUUACUGGGUGUAAAGGGAGCGUAGACGGCGAUGCAAGUCUGAAGUGAAAGGCGGGGGCCCAACCCCCGGACUGCUUUGGAAACUGUAUGGCUGGAGUGCAGGAGAGGUAAGUGGAAUUCCUAGUGUAGCGGUGAAAUGCGUAGAUAUUAGGAGGAACACCAGUGGCGAAGGCGGCUUACUGGACUGUAACUGACGUUGAGGCUCGAAAGCGUGGGGAGCAAACAGGAUUAGAUACCCCUGUAGUC
Molecule: ribosomal RNA, 443 nt
Filed under: uncultured bacterium
Lineage: Bacteria
Description: partial 16S ribosomal RNA
Rfam family: Bacterial small subunit ribosomal RNA
Source: RNAcentral